RNAcentral lists this ribosomal RNA (466 nucleotides) under uncultured bacterium. Its description in RNAcentral is "partial 16S ribosomal RNA". It matches the Rfam family "Bacterial small subunit ribosomal RNA", at positions 29 to 523 of the family's 1533-position model. The record is from RNAcentral.
AACGAACGCUGGCGGUAUGCUUAACACAUGCAAGUCGAACGAACAAAAUUGGGGCUUGCUCCAAUUUUAGUGAGUGGCAAACGGGUGAGUAACACGUGGGAAUCUACCUAUCAGUACGGAAUAACAUUUGGAAACAGAUGCUAAUACCGUAUAUUCUCCAAGGAGGAAAGAUUUAUCGCUGAUAGAUGAGCCCGCGCAAGAUUAGGUAGUUGGUAGGGUAAUGGCCUACCAAGCCGACGAUCUUUAGCUGGUCUGAGAGGAUGAUCAACCACACUGGGACUGAGACACGGCCCAGACUCCUACGGGAGGCAGCAGUGGGGAAUAUUGGACAAUGGGCGAAAGCCUGAUCCAGCAAUACCGCGUGAAUGAUGAAGGCCUUAGGGUUGUAAAGUUCUUUUAGUUGGAAAGAUAAUGACGGUACCAACAGAAAAAGCCCCGGCUAACUCCGUGCCAGCCGCCGCAGUAA